UGGUUUUCCCAGGGCGAGGCUUAUCCAUUG
RNAcentral lists this non-coding RNA (30 nucleotides) under Cricetulus griseus (Chinese hamster). Lineage: Eukaryota; Metazoa; Chordata; Mammalia; Rodentia; Cricetidae. The record is from RNAcentral.